RNAcentral lists this ribosomal RNA (3033 nucleotides) under bioreactor sludge metagenome. Its description in RNAcentral is "bacterial LSU rRNA". It matches the Rfam family "Bacterial large subunit ribosomal RNA". The record is from RNAcentral.
UUAAGAGUUUAUGGUGGAUGCCUUGGUACAAAAAGCCGAUGAAGGACGUAACAGCCUGCGAUAAGCCUCGGAUAGCGGACAAUACGCGUUUUAAUCCGGGGAUUUCCGAAUGGGGAAACCCAUCCCGAGUCAUGUCGGGAUAUUCUGGGACGAAUACAUAAUCCCAGUAAAGGUAAGCCAGUGAACUAAAACAUUUAAGUAACUGGAAGAAAAGAUACAAUAUUUGUAUUCCCUAAGUAGUGGCGAGCGAAAGGGGAAGAGCCCAAACCCUUCAGGUAGGGAGAGUUGAUUGAGUCUGCUUUGCGGAGGAUACCAACAAUCCGUCUCAACAGAGAUGGUUGCGGAAGGGGGUUGUAAGAGAAAGCGUUUGUGCGCUGUUGAGCACAGAAAAGAGUUAUCAUAAUCUAUUGCUAAUAGAAUAAGGUUGGAAAGCCAAACCAUAGAGGGUAAUAGUCCCGUAUAUGAAAGUGAUAGAUCUCUUUAGUUUUCAUCUUGAGUACUACGGUCUAGGAGUAAAACCGUAGGAAGCAGCCAAAACCACUUGGCAAGGCUAAAUACUUUUUGUAACCGAUAGUGAACAAGUACCGUGAGGGAAAGGUGAAAAGAACCCCUGUUAGGGGAGUGAAAUAGAUCCUGAAACCAUAAACUUACAAGCAGUCGGAGUCCCGAUUUAUCGGGAUGACGGCGUGCCUAUUGAAGAAUGAGUCUGCGAGUUAUAUUAUUAGGCGAGGUUAAGUCCGUCUCGGACGUAGCCGUAGCGAAAGCAAGUCCUAAAAGGCAUUUAGUCUAAUGAUAUAGACCCGAAACCAGGUGAUCUAUCCAUGAGCAGGUUGAAUCCCUUCGAAAGGGGGGAAGAGGACCGAACCGGUAAGCGCUGCAAAGCUUUCGGAUGACUUGUGGUUAGAGGUUAUACGCCAAUCGAACCUGGAAAUAGCUGGUUCUCCCCGAAAUAGCUUUAGGGCUAGCCUUGAUUAGUAGUUAGUGGAGGUAGAGCACUGUUUGGAUAGCGCGGGCCUUUUUGGCUUAGCGCAUCCUCACAAACUCCGAAUACCAUUAGCGUAAGAUCAGGAGUCAGUCGAUGGGAGCUAAGUUCCGUACGGCAAGAGGGAAACAUCCCAGAUCAACAGAUAAGGUCCCAAAAUACAUACUAAGUGGUAAACGAUGUGAAGAUUCUAAUACAGCUAGUAGGUUUGCUUAGAGGCAGCAAUCCUUUAAAGAGUGCGUAACAGCUCACUAAUCUAGAAACUUUGCACGAUUAAUUCAACGGGGCUCAAGUAUGAUACCGAUGCUUUGAAUUUUCCGUCCCUUCGGGGUCGGAAUCUGGUAGGGGAGCGUUGUAUGCGCAGCGAAGGUAAACUGUAAGGUUUGCUGGAGUACAUACAAGUGAGAAUGCAGACAUGAGUAGCGUAAAGCAGGUGAAAACCCUGCUCACCGAAUGAACGAGGUUUCCUUGGCCAUGUUCGUCAUCCAAGGGUUAGUCGGUCCUAAGCCGAGGCCGAAAGGCGUAGGCGAUGGACAACUGGUCAAUAUUCCAGUACUACUGAAAAUUCGUUAUCAACUAAGGAGGGACCAAGGUGGUAAUUCUGUAGUCACGAUAGGUCGUGAUUCAAGCAAUAAGUUAGUCUUUCUAGGUAAAUCCGGGAAGGCGAUUCUCCCUUACGGGGGAGGGCAAACGAGUUGUUACGAAAAGUCAAAGCCCACGGGCAGAGGCAAUUGCAGAUAAUCAACUUGCAAGAAAAACUUCUAUGUGAGAAUUUUUAGUAACCGUACCGCAAACCGACACUGGUGUUCUGGUAGAAUAUACCAAGGUGUGUGAGUGAUGCCUUGUUAAGGAAUUCGGCAUAAUAUCUCCGUAACUUCGGGAUAAGGAGACCCUAUAUUUAACUAUAUAGGGCGCAGAGAAAUGGUUCAAUCGACUGUUUAACAAAAACACAGGUCCCUGCUAAAGCGCAAGCUGAUGUAUAGGGGCUGACGCCUGCCCAAUGCCAGAAGAUCACAGAAGGGGGUUAGCCGUAAGGCGAAGCUUCUAACUUAAGUCCUGGUGAAUGGCGGCUGUAACUAUAACGGUCCUAAGGUAGCGAAGUUCCUCGGCGCUUAAUAGGCGUCGCGCAUGAAUGGCGUAACGAGUUGGACACUGUCUCGACAGGGCGCUCAGCGAACAUUGAAAUGGCAGUGAAGAUGCUGCCUACCCGCAGCAGGACAAAAAGACCCCGGGAUCUUUACUGUAUCUUGGCAUUGAGAUCAGAUUUUUAUUGUAGAGUGUAGGAAGGAGACUUUGAAGUCAGGACGCUAGUCUUGAUGGAGUCGACAAUGUAACACUUCCCUUUGAAGAUUUGAUUUCUAACCUAAUCCGUAAUCCGGAUUUGGAGACAGUGCCAGGUGGGCAGUUUUACUGGGGCGGUAUCUUACUAAAAUGUACCGUAAGAUUCCAAAGGUCAGCUCAGGAUGGAUUGGAAAUCAUCCGUAGAGUACAAUAAUAUAAGCUGGCUUUACUGCAAGACUGACAGGUCGCGCAGUUACGAAAGUAGGGUAUAGUGACCCUUUGAUGGCGUGUGGAAGCGUCAUUGUUUAAAGGAUAAAAGUUACCCCGGGGAUAACAGGCUGGUCUUACCCAAGCGUUCAUAGCGACGGUAAGGUUCGGCACCUCGAUGUCGGCUCGUCGCAUCCUGGAGGUGGAGAAGCUUCCAAGGGUCGGGCUGUUCGCCCGUUAAAGCGGCACGCGAGCUGGGUUCAAACCGACGUGAGUCAGGUUGGUCUCUAUCCGCUGUGGGCGUUAGAAUCUUGAGGGAAUCGACCUUCAGUACGAGAGGAUCAAGGUGAGUUAACCUCUGGUGCACCAGUUGUCCUACCAAGGGCAUAGCUGGGUGGCCACGUUAGUAUUUGGAUAAACGCUGAAAGCAUAUAAGCGUGAAGCCAAUCCCAAGAUUAGGAUUCUUUUAAGACCCCGAGUAGACUACUCGGUUGAUAGCUCCUAGGUGUAAAUGCAGCAAUGCAUGUAGCCGAGGGAUGACUAAUAGGUCGUAAGCUUAAACG